Molecule: long non-coding RNA, 2091 nt
Filed under: Actinidia chinensis (golden kiwifruit)
Lineage: Eukaryota; Viridiplantae; Streptophyta; Magnoliopsida; Ericales; Actinidiaceae
Description: long non-coding RNA (ACHI_LNC000765)
Source: RNAcentral
GGGAGGGAGGGAGGAAGGGGGAGAGAGCUCGUACGCCGUUCGCCUUCGCGCUCGCCGUUCGCCGUUCGCCGUUCGCCGUCUCCGUCUCCGUUUCCGUUCGCCGUUGCCAUCUCAGUUCCUCGCUCACCGCCAGAGUCACCCAUCUCAGGUCUUGUUCAUGGGUCACUGUUCGCGUUCGCGUUCGGCGUUCGCCGUUCAUGGCUCGCUGCUCAAUAGUUUCCUCUCUCUAUUUCUGUCUCUACUAGCGAUUGAUUCAUGGGAGGGAUUGAAUUAGUGAUUUUUGCCUUAAUUUUUGGUUUGUGGUUGCCAUUGAUUUUUUACACUCAUUUGUAUUAGGGGUUUUGAAUGGGGUUGCCCUGCUUUUUGAUUUAAGGUUGCCAUUGAUUUUAUUUUAUUUUUUAACUAAGGGAAGCGAUGGCAUCUCAACAUAGGUUCCAAAAUUCCAAAUAUAAUCUCAUCAAACCUUCUCAUAUAAAAAACCCUCUAGGGUUAAGCCAGAGAGAGAGAGAGAGAGGCGGGAGGGAGGGGGAGAGAGAGCUCGUUUGCCGUUCGCCUUUCGCGUUCGCCGUCGUCGUCGCCGUUUUCAUCAAACCUUAAAAAGCCUCUAGGGUUAAGCCCGAGAGAGAGAGCCGGGAGGGAGGGAGUGGGAGAGAGAGCUCUUUUGCCUUUCGCCGUUCACGUUCGCCUUUCGCGUUCGGCGUUCGCCAUCUCAGUUCGUUGCUCACCGCCACAGUCACCCAUCUCAGUUCAUGUUCAUCACCUGUUCGCGUUUUGCCUUCGCCUUUCAAUGGCUCGCUACUCACUAUUAAAUCUUCUCUCUAUUCUCUCGCUACUCGCCGAUUGACCAUGGGAGGGAGGAAUUAGGGAUUUUUGCCUUAAUUUUGGUUUGUGGUUGCCAUUGGAUUUUUUCACACUCCUUUGUAUUAGGGGUUUUGAAUGGGGUUGCCCUGCUUUUUGAUUUAAGGUUGCAUUGGAUUUUUUUUUUAAUUUUUUUUUUGCCCUGAUUUGAAUGAGUUUUUUUUUGGCCCAUUUGAUUGGUGUUGCCGUUUUCUGUUUUUUGGCCCAAUUUGAAUCAGAAGUCUUUGAUUCAUCAUGUUGUGGUGUAAUUAAUGGGGGUGGGCCGCAAUGUUUUGGUGUUUUGUUGAAAGAAGACACGGUAUGGUGAAAGAAGAAAAAAGGUAUAAUAGUAGUUAGAUCAUUUAUUUGAGGCCAUUGUAGGAAAUUUGUGUAUUUUUCAAAUCUUCGGUGCAAGAAGAAAAGGGGUAUAUAGUAUUAGUCGUUUGAUCGAGGCCAUCAUAGGAAUUGUGGGAGAGAGGGCUCGUUUGCCGUUCGCCUUUCGCCUUUCGCGUUCGCCGUCGUCGUCGCCGUUUUCAUCAAACCUCAAAAAGCCUCUAGGGUUAAGCCCGGAGAGGAGAGCCGGAGGAGGUGAUGGGGAGAGAGAGCUCUUUUGCCUUUCGCCGUUCACGUUCGCCUUUCGCGUUCGGCGUUCGCCAUCUCAGUUCGUUGCUCACCGCCACAGUCACCCAUCUCAGUUCAUGUUCAUCACUGUUCGCGUUCGCCAUUCGCCGUUCAUGGCUCGCUACUCAAUAGUAUCUUCUUCUCUCUAGUCUCUCCUCUACUCCUACUCGCGAUUGAAUCCAUGGAGGGAUUGAAUAGGAUUUUGCCUUAAUUUUUUGUUUUGGUUGCCAUUGAUUUUUUACACUCAUUUGUUUGGAGGUUUUGCAUGUGGUUGCCCUGCUUUUUGAUUUAAGGUUGCCAUUGAUUUUUUUUUAAUUUUUUUUGCCCUGAUUUGAAUGAGUUUUUUUUUGCUCCAUUUUUGAUUUGUGGUUGCCGAUUUCUGUUUUUUGCCCUAAUUUGAAUCAGAAGUCUUUGAUUCAUCAUGUUGUGGUGGUAAUUAAUGGGGGUGGCCGCUGGUGUUGGUGUUGGUUGAAAGAAGACACGGUAUGGUGAAAGAAGAAAAGGGUAUAAUAGUAUUUAGUCAUUUAUUUGAGGCCAUUGUAGGAAUUGUGUAAUUUUUCAAAUCUUAGGGUGCAAGAAGAAAAGGGUAUAAUAGUAUUUAGUCGUUUGAUCGAGGCCAUCAUAGGAAUUGUG